ACCAAUCACAGUGCAGAACUGUUUGACGUCACACGACUUUCAACCGGAAGAGCGAAUGUAAACAGACCAGGAGAGCUUGAGAACGGAAUCCUUUGCUGUACUUCUCAAAAAGUGCUUUAGCCAUUUUUUUUUAUCCAUAACAACUAAUCCGACAGAUUAAGUGAUAUGCUCACGGCAGGAUUGUCAUGUGUGAACGACUCACAUGGACAUCCUGUCAGCUAGCUGCUAGCUAGAGUUAGCUCAUUAGUCUCACUGCGACACAACUUUAUGGUUAUUUCGCAGCAUGCCUCAAGAAACAGAGCAGUCUCUCCCCUUGGUGCGCUCCCUGAAAAGUCGUAUCCCCAUUAAGGCUGUGUUUUGUAACCGCAGUCCUCGUGUUGUUCGUCCACUGUGGAUAAACUUUAGCGGGGAACCUAAAGCGUACAAUGAUCUCCAGCCAGGCACGGGACGAGAAAUGAACACCUUCAUCGGUCAUCCAUGGAUGUUCAGGGAUGCAGAGACUGAUGAGCCACUGAGGGUGAACAGCAAAGAACUGUAUCUUCCUAAACCAGCAGAGGGUGCAGUUGCCAACAUCACUUUGCCAGUUUACAGCCUGAAGGAUCGUGCUCUCCAGGUAAUUCGACGCCUGGUACGACCAGAAGACUACAGGAGCUUGGAAAUAGCACGAUGUCUCCACGAGGAGCUGGAAGAUCAUCCCAGUAUGUCCAAAGAUCUGACACGCAUGAAUCAACGAGUCGAGCAACAUCUGGAGGAGAGGAUCCAAGGCCAGGAGGAGUGAAUGUAAACUAGAUGGCUACAGCAGACAGUUAUGGUGAGCAGGGUGCAGGAACAUCAGGAACAUGCAGGCAGGGGAUAUGAAAAAAACAUGGGACUCAAGUCGUUUCAGGCAAGGAUGCAUGACACAUUGGCAAAGGAGUCACCCAGUCAUGUUCCAACAUCUGCACACAGACCACUGGAGCAAAAUGAAAAUAAUGGUUCCAGUUGGUCUUGCGUCAGUUCCAGCUGCAUUGUUGAAGGAAAGAGUGUAUGCACAAGGAGCUCAACACCACGUCACCACCAGAAGCCUGUUACCUCCUCUUAUCCAGGAUGAGGCAACAGUUCAUGUCCCUGGAAUGCAUUCAAACGCACCCAGAAACUCACCUCAGUACAGGAAUGUGUACAAUGACCGAGCCAGGAGGGACUUCUGCUACUGGUUCAUUGAAAAGAAGCCUUCAAUGUGUAAAGGAAACAGCUUUGGUGCCUACAAAACAUCCCUUGGAUUACCAAAAGUCUAAGAAGAAGCUUUACAGAUUAAUAUUUUCAGCCCCUCUGACUCUAUUUGUCAAAAUAUUCUUCCAUUUAUAUAUUCUCACUUGGGAGAGAUAAUGUGUAUUUUGUGUCUUAUUUACCAUCACAAUACUAAAGUGUGUCCAUAUUUAAAAAGCUAUCAAGACACUAUUUACUUUUCUUUAGGAUGGUUUCACCUUGAGUGGAAAUAUUUUUUUAAAUAGUUGGGCAUGUAAAAUGUCCUGGCUGCAAGAAUGUUUUUGGGAUGAUGUUUAAAAUAUGUUGAAUAAAAACUCUAUGAACAUCUCA
Notolabrus celidotus (New Zealand spotty) is the source of this 1575-nucleotide RNA transcript. It is a transcript of the gene named von Hippel-Lindau tumor suppressor, with no coding region annotated. The record is from RefSeq and is a predicted model, not a curated record. NCBI's taxonomy places the organism in Eukaryota, Metazoa, Chordata, Actinopteri, Labriformes, Labridae. The transcript has 9 exons.